Mesocricetus auratus (golden hamster) is the source of this 876-nucleotide long non-coding RNA. RefSeq lists it as uncharacterized. The transcript is spliced from 2 exons. The record is from RefSeq and is a predicted model, not a curated record. Lineage: Eukaryota; Metazoa; Chordata; Mammalia; Rodentia; Cricetidae.
CUGGGGCAUGCGCAAGAUGCCCCAGAUAUUGGCUAAGAAAAUGACUGCCUAGGAACGCCCACCCCCUCCCAGGGUGCACAGACCAGGCGUCACCUGCUCCUUGUUACAAAGACCAGCGAUGUAAGGGCACUCAGAUCAGAAGCAGCACGAGCCAAGGCCUCAGAGAGGCAAGAUGUCUUUUGUUUCCCGGCCCAUGGUGGUAGCGCAUUGGAAGGGUUCUGGAAUUUCAGGACACAAAGUAGCAGUUUUAAAUAAUGAGAGAAGAUUCCACAUGGAACGCUCAUCUGGCUGUGGCAGCCUGUGACUGAAUGAGAGAAAAGUGCCCUAGAAGCUAUUCAUUACGAAUUCACUGGAAGCUCUCAAACGAGGCUGGCAGAAGCUGAAAUUGAAGUGGUCUCUGACCUAAUUUUCUUCUGCAUGAGACAUCUGCAUCAAGGCUCUCUUUGAUGUAUUCCACUUGGCUCUGUCUACAGGAUUGUAUCACAUGGCCUCCGUGUUGCCUUCUUAUUGAAAGACAUUUUCAGCCUGAGCAAGGUAAUGCACAAUGUUACCGUUACCCAAACUAAUCACUCAAUGGGCUCCUAAAAUAGAAACAAUAGCAAUUCAGAGACACUGUUGUCUGCUGCCUGUUCCUGCAGCUUGGGCUCCUGGUUUCUCAACUUAGAUUGCUGCCAUUUGCCUCAUGUAAUUCCAAAACAAAGGACAGAAAGACAAGCAAAGUCAUGCAGGAUAAUGUUGGGACCAGGAACACACUGGAUGGGACUUCCUCUUGUUUGAUCCUUCAAACCAUUGGCUAGGAGUCGGGAUCCAUUUCAAGCCUCACAAAGCAGGGCUGAGAUGUCUCUGCCUUAGGAAAAUAAAGGCUUUCUUGAUUUA